GUCCAGGGAUGGGAAUCGAACCCACAGUGUUCUGCUUACCGGGCGGAUGCCAUGUCCACUAGGCUACCCUGGA
This 73-nucleotide transfer RNA is filed under the name Cordylochernes scorpioides. Its description in RNAcentral is "tRNA-Thr". The record is from RNAcentral. Lineage: Eukaryota; Metazoa; Arthropoda; Arachnida; Pseudoscorpiones; Chernetidae.